UAAUAUUUCUCUGGCACUUAAGAAGUCUGACUGACUCACUGGACACGUUGUUGGUGUCUUUAUUUUUUAUUUUUACAAUGAUGUGAUGAGAGCACUUUAGAGUUUAUGAAUAUGUCAACAUUGUAAAUCCAAACAGGAAUCAUUGAUAGUUGAAAAGGCAAUUAUAUAAAACUGUUGUGGAGGAGGGUUCCAGUGCCAGGUUUAUUGGUCUUUGAGCCCACAGAGGUGUUUGAAGGAGCCGGUGCUACCGCAGAAAGGACUACACUGGCACAGGAGACACGAAUGGACUCGGUCAGUGGUUUAGAAUCGAACGGAGCAGCUUUUACAUAGGAGCAAUUGUCUGCUGAGGUGUGGAGGCGGGACAGUGGUACCAAGGGAACAAAGAUGAACCUCCACAGGGUUUUCACACAAACCCUGCAGCCUGCGCGCUGGACAUUUCAUACCGCAGCUACAUUUUUUCUUUUUGAUUUACGUCCGCUGCUGCCGUUCGGAGCUGAACGGACAUAAAGUCACGUUUUGCUGCCUGUUUCUGAACGAACGCAGACAGGAGACGGUGUCUGGAUGAGCUGAGAGCGCGAGAGGCACGUUUCCCGUCUGUUCCGAGACAACAGGAGACAUCUGGGAGGCAAGCAGGCCAAAACCUGCCAGCACCGAGGAGUCCCUUUUAAAUAGAAUAAUAAUAAUAAUUAAGAAAAAAAAA
Long non-coding RNA from Acanthopagrus latus (yellowfin seabream), 700 nucleotides. RefSeq lists it as uncharacterized. Lineage: Eukaryota; Metazoa; Chordata; Actinopteri; Spariformes; Sparidae. The record is from RefSeq and is a predicted model, not a curated record. The transcript is spliced from 3 exons.